RNAcentral lists this ribosomal RNA (301 nucleotides) under uncultured bacterium. RNAcentral describes it as "partial 16S ribosomal RNA". It matches the Rfam family "Bacterial small subunit ribosomal RNA", at positions 509 to 807 of the family's 1533-position model. The record is from RNAcentral.
CAGCAGCCGCGGUAAUACGAAGGGUGCAAGCGUUAAUCGGAAUUACUGGGCGUAAAGCGCACGCAGGCGGUUUGUUAAGUCAGAUGUGAAAUCCCCGAGCUUAACUUGGGAACUGCAUUUGAGACUGGCAAGCUAGAGUCCUGUAGAGGGGGGUAGAAUUCCAGGUGUAGCGGUGAAAUGCGUAGAGAUCUGGAGGAAUACCGGUGGCGAAGGCGCCCCCCUGGACAAAGACUGACGCUCAGGUGCGAAAGCGUGGGGAGCAAACAGGAUUAGAUACCCCGGUAGUCCCUGUCUCUUAUAC